CUCUUUUAUGUUCUAUUAUCAAGUGGUUUAAGAAAACUCUUUAUCUUAAUGCAGAUUUAGGAAGAUGUGAAUAUCAAAUUACCCUACAAGGAAACAUGGAGCAAAUUACAACAGGAUGAUAAAGAAGUGACAAAAGGAUGGAUUCAGAGAAACCUGGGAGGAUUUGUAUGAAUUUUCGCAGUGUGAAGAGAACAAAGCCAAUUAAACAAUUUAUAUGACUACAAUAUGGAAAGAAAAGAAGAACCACAAUUAUUUUGCAACAUUGUGAUGGACUAACAAUGCUGAAGUCCCCCAACCAUCUAGUCAUCUAAUAUUAGGAAGUGAAAUCACAAGAUCUGCUGGCAGCUUUACCUUUCCUAAGAGCUCAAAAGAAUUCUGGGACUACAAGAUUGUCCUGGAAAACAAUUGUGAAAAAUUUAAGAUCUAUGAUCAAUUCCAGAAAACAACGGAUCUUCCACUUCUUGGCAGAGAGCAACAGAAUGGGACAAACAUUUUGAAACAAAGCCAGUUGUGAAUCUGGAGGGUGGGAAAGGUAGAGAUAGCAAUAUUAAAUUUUUAUUUU
RNAcentral lists this long non-coding RNA (562 nucleotides) under Monodelphis domestica (gray short-tailed opossum). RNAcentral describes it as "lncRNA (ENSMODG00000043907.1)". The record is from RNAcentral. Lineage: Eukaryota; Metazoa; Chordata; Mammalia; Didelphimorphia; Didelphidae.